Molecule: ribosomal RNA, 423 nt
Filed under: uncultured bacterium
Lineage: Bacteria
Description: partial 16S ribosomal RNA
Rfam family: Bacterial small subunit ribosomal RNA
Source: RNAcentral
AUUUUGGACAAUGGGCGCAAGCCUGAUCCUGCCAUGCCUCUUGUGCGUUGAAGGCCUUCGGGUUGUAAAGCUCUUUUGGCAGGGAAGAAACGGCGCGGGCUAAUAACCUGCGCUACUGACGGUACCUGCAGAAUAAGCACUUGCUAACUACGUGCCAGCAGCCGCGGUAAUACGUAGGGUGCAAGCGUUAAUCGGAAUUACUGGGCGUAAAGCGUGCGCAGGCGGUUUGGAAAGAAAGAUGUGAAAUCCCAGAGCUUAACUUUGGAACUGCAUUUUUAACUGCCAAGCUAGAGUAUGUCAGAGGGGGGUAGAAUUCCACGUGUAGCAGUGAAAUGCGUAGAGAUGUGGAGGAAUACCGAUGGCGAAGGCAGCCCCCUGGGAUAAUACUGACGCUCAUGCACGAAAGCGUGGGGAGCAAACAGG